ACAGGACGAUUAUAAGCCUUCACCAGGCUACAUCACUUGGAGUGUCUUCAGUUGACUUAGAGUGACACACCACCACUGAGCAGUGUCCCUCCACAGAUGACCCCUCAGUGCCACAGGCGGAUGGUGGCAUCAGCCCCAGAGGUGAAGAGGAAGGGCUCGUAGGGGUGCCAGGUGACGUCCAACACACACAGGUCCUCAAAGCGGGAAUGUCCUCGCAGCUCCUUCAGGGGUACCAGGAAAGGGUCCUUCAGCCAAUCACUGAAACCAAGCCCUGUACAAGCCAAUGGUAUCAAGACUUACUCAUACACCAUCCCAUGAGACACGAUGAUCCUUCCUUCGUCCGACACCGAGGCAAACAGUGGAUAUUUGCGGUGGAAGGCAACUCCACGAAUUGCUCCCUUGUGGAACCUCAGUGCAUGAGGUGUCCUAGUGCACUCCAUCUCAAACCUGCAAGAUACACGGCAAGAUCAAUAUUAUUCUCCUAAUGAUGCAAUUAAGAGAAACAAAGGAUAUAGGGAUACUUCACCAGACCUAUGAAAGGAAGUCUCCAGCAUAUCCACAGCUUUUUAUCCUACCCUGCCAUACAGAUUCAGCUGCAACCGGUCAGAAAUUUUUGUAAUCUUACUACGGACUGAUUUAUAUAGGUGAAGAAGUCUGUCUGGAAGCCUGUCUCCCAUCCCAUACAGCAGCUUACACCCAAUACAAGUUAAAAGCUUCUUUCCUCUACCUCCAUUAGUUUAUGCAAUAAUUACUUGGCUUCUGAUGACUGGACAAGAAUAACUGCAGAUUGAGAGAAUGUCAGUUACAGUCAUGAAACUGUUUAAAAGGUUUACACUAAUUUUUAAUGGAAUUAUCACACCACAAACUGAAAUACAGUGAUAUGUAAUGGAGAAAGUUUUCAUGAGCAUGAUGUCAUUGUCAAAUUUUAAGUAAUACAUUGAAUAGGGGCACUAAGCAACUUUUCGUACUGAGAUGUUGCUGCAAGAUAGCUGGUGAGUGCCAUCUCACAGCAUUAGUUCUCAUAGUGCCAUAUUACCACUGCCUUGUGCCAACAGCUUGGCGUAAAAAAAAAAAAGCAGCCUUCUGCCCUUCCUUUAAACUACCAAAAAUGUGACAACACCAAUGUGUUUGGGACAACUUCCAACUUCCUCUAUCACAUACCAACUAUUUUCAUUUGUGUUAUAUUAAAAUAACUGCAGCACAAGACAAAAAGCAAUAAACAUUUGUUAUUCA
Long non-coding RNA from Portunus trituberculatus (swimming crab), 1233 nucleotides. RefSeq lists it as uncharacterized. The record is from RefSeq and is a predicted model, not a curated record. The transcript is spliced from 5 exons. NCBI's taxonomy places the organism in Eukaryota, Metazoa, Arthropoda, Malacostraca, Decapoda, Portunidae.